GGAGGGUGCGAGCGUUAAUCGGGAAUUACUGGGGCGUAAAGCGCGCGUAGGUGGUUUGUUAAGUCAGCUGUGAAAGCCCUGGGGCUCAGCCUGGGAAUUGCAGUUGAUACUGGCCGACUAGAGUACGAGAGAGGGAGGUAGAAUUCCAUGUGUAGCGGUGAAAUGCGUAGAUAUAUGGAGGAAUACCAGUGGCGAAGGCGGCCUCCUGGCUCGAUACUGACACUGAGGUGCGAAAGCGUGGGUAGCAAACAGGAUUAGAUACCCUGGUAGUCCACGCCGUAAACGAUGUCUACUAGCCGUUGGGAGACUUGAUUUCUUAGUGGCGCAGCUAACGCAAUAAGUAGACCGCCUGGGGAGUACGGCCGCAAGGUUA
RNAcentral lists this ribosomal RNA (373 nucleotides) under uncultured organism. RNAcentral describes it as "partial 16S ribosomal RNA". It matches the Rfam family "Bacterial small subunit ribosomal RNA", at positions 527 to 896 of the family's 1533-position model. The record is from RNAcentral.